UUUCCGUAGGUGAACCUGCGGAAGGAUCAUUACUGAGUGAGGGCCCUCGGGGUCCAACCUCCCACCCGUGUUUAACGAACCUUGUUGCUUCGGCGGGCCCGCCUCACGGCCGCCGGGGGGCAUCUGCCCCCGGGCCCGCGCCCGCCGAAGCCACCUGUGAACGCUGUCUGAAGUAUGCAGUCUGAGACAAUUAUUAAAUUAAUUAAAACUUUCAACAACGGAUCUCUUGGUUCCG
Molecule: unclassified non-coding RNA, 235 nt
Filed under: plant metagenome
Description: partial contains small subunit ribosomal RNA, internal transcribed spacer 1, and 5.8S ribosomal RNA
Source: RNAcentral